This 31-nucleotide non-coding RNA is filed under the name Mus musculus (house mouse). The record is from RNAcentral. Lineage: Eukaryota; Metazoa; Chordata; Mammalia; Rodentia; Muridae.
UGUAAAGCAGACCUCUGAUGAGGGGCAUGGC